Molecule: long non-coding RNA, 339 nt
Filed under: Brassica napus (rape)
Lineage: Eukaryota; Viridiplantae; Streptophyta; Magnoliopsida; Brassicales; Brassicaceae
Description: long non-coding RNA (BNAP_LNC007978)
Source: RNAcentral
AUUCAACAUAUAUUCCAAAGGUCGGCCGAAGAAACCUUACCGAACACGAAGCCCAAUAGGGGGCAUAAUGCCAUAAAGGACAUGAAAAAUAUCCAAAGGUCAACCGGUUCGAAAGAUCUUUGCUAUAAUUUCUAAACCUAGAUAUUAAAAUUUAAAAUUGAUCCUAACUUCAUUCUCACUCUCUGAAUACUAAUAAAAAAAAUUCUAAUCACUAAAUCCUAAACAAAAAUUAAAUCUUAAACUCAAACAUAAUUCAUAAACUCAAAUAUUAAAAUCUAAAGUUGACCCUAACUUCACUACCACUCUCUAAAUACUAAACCAUAAACUAUAAUCACUAAA